UGCGUAGGUGGGAUGAUAAGUCAGAGGUGAAAGCUAGCAGCUUAACUGUUAAAUUGCCUUUGAUACUGUUAUUCUUGAGUGUAGUUGGCGUUGGCGGAAUGUGACAUGUAGCGGUGAAAUGCGUAGAUAUGUCACAGAACACCGAUCGCGAAGGCAGCUAACGAAGCUAUCACUGACACUGAUGCACGAAAGCGUGGGGAGCAAACAGGAUUAGAUACCCUGGUAGUCCACGCCGUAAACGAUGAUAACUCGACGUUGGCAAUAUACUGUUCAGCGUCCAAGCGAAAGCGUUAAGUUAUCCACCUGGGGAGUACGAUCGCAAGGUUGAA
Molecule: ribosomal RNA, 329 nt
Filed under: uncultured Pedobacter sp.
Lineage: Bacteria; Pseudomonadati; Bacteroidota; Sphingobacteriia; Sphingobacteriales; Sphingobacteriaceae
Description: bacterial SSU rRNA
Rfam family: Bacterial small subunit ribosomal RNA
Source: RNAcentral